Molecule: ribosomal RNA, 490 nt
Filed under: uncultured bacterium
Lineage: Bacteria
Description: partial 16S ribosomal RNA
Rfam family: Bacterial small subunit ribosomal RNA
Source: RNAcentral
AUUGAACGCUGGCGGCACGCCUUACACAUGCAAGUCGAACGGCAGCAUGAUCUGGCCUGCCAGUUUGAUGGGGCGUGGUGAACGGGUGAGAAAUACACCGGAACGUGUACUGUUUCGGGGGAGAACUCGUCGAGAGACUAACUAAUACAGCACAUGAGCCGUGGGUGAGAGUGGAGGACCGCAACGCCUCUUGCUCUAGUAGCUGCCGAUGUCUGAUUAGCUAGUUGGCGGGGUAAAGGCUCACCAAGGCGACGAUCCGUAGCUGGUCUGAGAGGACGAUCAGCCACACUGGGACUGAGACACGGCCCAGACUCCUACGGGAGGCAGCAGUGGGGAAUUUUGGACAAUGGGCGCAAGCCUGAUCCAGCCAUGCCGCGUGUGUGAAGAAGGCCUUCGGGUUGUAAAGCACUUUUGUCGGGAAAGAAAAGGAUCUGGUUAAUACCUGGGGUUGAUGACGGUACCGGAAGAAUAAGCACCGGCUAACUACGUG